RNAcentral lists this ribosomal RNA (467 nucleotides) under uncultured bacterium. Its description in RNAcentral is "partial 16S ribosomal RNA". It matches the Rfam family "Bacterial small subunit ribosomal RNA", at positions 29 to 507 of the family's 1533-position model. The record is from RNAcentral.
ACGAACGCUGGCGGCGUGCUUAACACAUGCCAGUCGAACGGAAAGGCCCUGCUUUUGUGGGGUGCUCGAGUGGCGAACGGGUGAGUAACACGUGAGUAACCUGCCCUUGACUUUGGGAUAACUUCAGGAAACUGGGGCUAAUACCGGAUAGGAGCUCCUGCUGCAUGGUGGGGGUUGGAAAGUUUCGGCGGUUGGGGAUGGACUCGCGGCUUAUCAGCUUGUUGGUGGGGUAGUGGCUUACCAAGGCGUUGACGGGUAGCCGGCCUGAGAGGGUGACCGGCCACAUUGGGACUGAGAUACGGCCCAGACUCCUACGGGAGGCAGCAGUGGGGAAUAUUGCACAAUGGGCGGAAGCCUGAUGCAGCAACGCCGCGUGCGGGAUGACGGCCUUCGGGUUGUAAACCGCUUUCGCCUGUGACGAAGCGUGAGUGACGGUAAUGGGUAAAGAAGCACCGGCUAACUACGUG